RNAcentral lists this ribosomal RNA (251 nucleotides) under uncultured prokaryote. RNAcentral's name for it is "partial 16S rRNA". It matches the Rfam family "Bacterial small subunit ribosomal RNA", at positions 525 to 775 of the family's 1533-position model. The record is from RNAcentral.
ACGUAGGGAGCGAGCGUUGUCCGGAAUUACUGGGCGUAAAGGGUGCGUAGGCGGUCAGGCAAGUCAGAUGUGAAAUCCCCGGGCUUUACUCGGGUGGUGCAUUUGAAACUGCUUGACUUGAGUGCAGGAGAGGAAAGCGGAAUUCCUAGUGUAGCGGUGAAAUGCGUAGAUAUUAGGAGGAACACCAGUGGCGAAGGCGGCUUUCUGGACUGUAACUGACGCUGAGGCACGAAAGCGUGGGGAGCAAACAG